Molecule: ribosomal RNA, 492 nt
Filed under: uncultured bacterium
Lineage: Bacteria
Description: partial 16S ribosomal RNA
Rfam family: Bacterial small subunit ribosomal RNA
Source: RNAcentral
AGUGAACGCUGGCGGUAGGCCUAACACAUGCAAGUCGAACGGCAGCACAGUAAGAGCUUGCUCUUACGGGUGGCGAGUGGCGGACGGGUGAGGAAUACAUCGGAAUCUACUUUUUCGUGGGGGAUAACGUAGGGAAACUUACGCUAAUACCGCAUACGACCUACGGGUGAAAGCAGGGGAUCUUCGGACCUUGCGCGAUUGAAUGAGCCGAUGUCGGAUUAGCUAGUUGGCGGGGUAAAGGCCCACCAAGGCGACGAUCCGUAGCUGGUCUGAGAGGAUGAUCAGCCACACUGGAACUGAGACACGGUCCAGACUCCUACGGGAGGCAGCAGUGGGGAAUAUUGGACAAUGGGCGCAAGCCUGAUCCAGCCAUACCGCGUGGGUGAAGAAGGCCUUCUGGUUGUAAAGCCCUUUUGUUGGGAAAGAAGAGCAGCAGGUUAAUACCCCGCUGUUCUGACGGUACCCAAAGAAUAAGCACCGGCUAACUUCGCG